GGAGGGUCAAAAAUCACAUGUCUACAGUAAGUCCUGCGACGACGUACCCUUCUACGUUGUCCCCUCCCUUGACUUCGAGAACUCCCACUUGAAGUAAUUCGAACUUGUCCCUGUUCAGCCAUAUUUGAAAUAGGACCAAGGAAACAAUAAGAAUGGCUACAACCAUCCAAUGUGACAGCAUAUAUCACAAUUACUUGUAGAAGUAUAUUAAUCGAGGGAUUAAGACUAAACUUAUUUUUAAUAUUAAGAGACAAGCUUAGGGAUUUAGACUAAAUUUGUUAAUAGAAACUAAAUCUGAUUCUAUUCUUCAACUUUGCAGCCACAACCAAUGGUAUUAACAACACUUACUUGUCUACCAACAGCAAACCAACAUUAGUUACAUAGGACCAUUGAAAAUCUGUAACUUUAAUGAGAUCUUCUAUUUCUAUCUUUCUUACUGUUCUUAAAACAAAUAGGUUGACAUAGUAGCUGCAAUGAAUACUAUUGUCUUUUCCUUUUUCUAGUUAUUUUAGGGGCAAUGAUUCAGAAAGCCAUAUCAUUGAUUUAUUCUGUUAACUAUUAACUUGAACAAUAAAUGGCAAAGAUCAGAUCACAAUUUCAUAUAUUUUAAAGUUAAAGUCUCACUUACUUUAGCAUCAAGUAAGUAGCAAGAUUCUUUUUGUCCCAACACAAAAUUAAUAUUAAAAUAGACAUGAUGCAGAUUUUUAGGAAUUAAUCAUGACUUUAAAAGAAAUCCAUUAAAAUAAACUAUACUAAUAUGGAAGUCACUCCAAUCACAUCGAUUGUGAAGCCUUACUUUAAAGUUUAGGAGACAGUAAUUUAUCAAAAUACUGUUAUCCUAAUUUGGUAUGAAACCAGUAUAAACAAAAAAAAACUGCAAAGGGAAUUACUUUGAAACAAGCAAAAACUUAAGCAGAAACUUUUUUUUUGACUUGGAAACUUUUAAAGGGAGAGGCUCAUAUGCGCUAUUCUAUUGUCUGAUUGUCAGACUUGGUGAAGACCCAAAUUCUAAGUGAUUACGAGAAGUUUGGAUCAAAAUUGAAACUUGUCAUUGGAAACAAUUAGGAGGAAACAACGUAGGCUCUGAUACCAUUAUUAGUUAAAUUUGAGUAACAGGAACAAAGAAUUUGUGUACCUGUUAACAACAGCGGAAGAUUUUUGCAGAAUCUAUUUCAAUCAAUUGCCCGAAUCUGAUUUCGUCUCUCUUGAAAAUAAAAUUUUUGUUCACGAAUUAAAUACCUUUUUCUUUCUUUUACUGUGUUUCUAUCUUUGUAGAGAGAUUAACGCAAUGUUUUUUUUUCUCUGAAGAAGGGAGCUUUGAUUUAUAGAUAGGGAAAGUUGUCAGAGGAAAUAAAAACUACCGUGAAACUAACCCACG
Molecule: long non-coding RNA, 1378 nt
Filed under: Nicotiana tabacum (common tobacco)
Lineage: Eukaryota; Viridiplantae; Streptophyta; Magnoliopsida; Solanales; Solanaceae
Description: long non-coding RNA (NTAB_LNC000325)
Source: RNAcentral